Molecule: non-coding RNA, 76 nt
Filed under: Candidatus Firestoneibacteriota
Lineage: Bacteria
Description: Candidatus Firestonebacteria c-di-GMP sequence
Rfam family: c-di-GMP-I riboswitch aptamer
About the family: GEMM was predicted in a large-scale screen for bacterial structured RNA regulatory elements. Genes associated with GEMM are involved in a diverse array of functions, including chemotaxis regulation, signal transduction, secretion and chitin.
Source: RNAcentral
CAUCCGAAAAGGCACACUUGUCGUAAGGCGGGGUCGCAAAGCUACGGGUCCAGAUGAAAGAGGCUGGAUUGCCAAG